CCUACGGGAGGCAGCAGUGGGGAAUAUUGCACAAUGGGGGAAACCCUGAUGCAGCGACGCCGCGUGAGUGAAGAAGUAUCUCGGUACGUAACGCUCUAUCAGCAGGGAAGAUAAUGACGGUACCUGACCAAGAAGCCCCGGCUAACUACGUGCCAGCAGCCGCGGUAAUACGUAGGGGGCAAGCGUUAUCCGGAUUUACUGGGUGUAAAGGGAGCGUAGGUGGCAAGGCAAGUCAGAUGUUAAAACCCGGGGCCCAACCCCGGGAGUGCAUUUGAAACUGUCUGGCUAGAGUGCAGGAGAGGUAAGUGGAAUUCCUAGUGUAGCGGUGACAUGCAUAGAUAUUAGGAGGAACACCAGUGGCGAAGGCGGCUUACUGGACUGUAACUGACACUGAGGCUCGAAAGCGUGGGGAGCAAACAGGAUUAGAUACCCCAGUAGUC
RNAcentral lists this ribosomal RNA (440 nucleotides) under uncultured bacterium. RNAcentral describes it as "partial 16S ribosomal RNA". It matches the Rfam family "Bacterial small subunit ribosomal RNA", at positions 338 to 795 of the family's 1533-position model. The record is from RNAcentral.